This is a long non-coding RNA of Felis catus (domestic cat), 643 nucleotides long. RefSeq lists it as uncharacterized. The record is from RefSeq and is a predicted model, not a curated record. The transcript has 2 exons. Lineage: Eukaryota; Metazoa; Chordata; Mammalia; Carnivora; Felidae.
CCCACAGACCGUGAGAUCGUGACCUGAGCCGAAGUCAGAUGUUUAACCGACUGAGCCACCAGGUGCCCCUCGGAGCCUCUUCUUUUCGGAAGGCUUGCGGGGGACUGAGAGGAAGGGCAGCCGAGGUAAAGUAUGGGGGCCACCAGCUUCCCCAGGGAAAGGGAUUUCUAGGCCAAGACCUCGUGGGGUCUGUUUGUGUCCAUCUGGCGUGGUGAAAAGAAAAGGAAGCAAUUCUCAGCGUGUGUCUACGCCUGCACGAUAAAAGGAAGGAACUAUUGAUACACAGCACCUCGGAUGAAUCACAGAGGCCUCAGGCGGAGUGAAAACAGCCAGUCUCCAAAGGUCCCCCUGGAUCAUUGAAGUGGAGACGUCCCGUUGGUGGUUGAUUUCGACAUUCUGGAACUCAGAGAAGGCUGGCUUAGCAGUGCAGGCGUGGGGGUCACCGGCAUAUGAAUGGGGCUGAAGAGUCUGGGAGAUGGACACAUCUGACCGGGAAGAACUAGGAGACUCAGAGAAGGACCAAGGCAGAAGCCCAGAGCCCGCACACCUAAACGCAGUCACUCGCACACCGCCCUCACUAUUUAUUUGCCACAUCAGCCCCGUCUUGUUUUCUAGUAAAUAGAAAGUUCUUGAAGUUCUCCUA